UAGCUUGACUGCGAGCGUGACGGCGCGAGCAGGUGCGAAAGCAGGUCAUAGUGAUCCGGUGGUUCUGAAUGGAAGGGCCAUCGCUCAACGGAUAAAAGGUACUCCGGGGAUAACAGGCUGAUACCGCCCAAGAGUUCAUAUCGACGGCGGUGUUUGGCACCUCGAUGUCGGCUCAUCACAUCCUGGGGCUGAAGUAGGUCCCAAGGGUAUGGCUGUUCGCCAUUUAAAGUGGUACGCGAGCUGGGUUUAGAACGUCGUGAGACAGUUCGGUCCCUAUCUGCCGUGGGCGCUGGAGAAUUGAGGGGGGCUGCUCCUAGUACGAGAGGACCGGAGUGGACGCAUCACUGGUGUUCGGGUUGUCAUGCCAAUGGCACUGCCCGGUAGCUAAAUGCGGAAGAGAUAAGUGCUGAAAGCAUCUAAGCACGAAACUUGCCCCGAGAUGAGUUCUCCCUGAGACUAUAAGUCUCCUGAAGGAACGUUGAAGACGACGACGUUGAUAGGCCGGGUGUGUAAGCGCAGCGAUGCGUUGAGCUAACCGGUACUAAUGAACCGUGAGGCUUAACCUUACAACGCCGAAG
RNAcentral lists this ribosomal RNA (578 nucleotides) under Klebsiella pneumoniae. Its description in RNAcentral is "partial 23S ribosomal RNA". It matches the Rfam family "Bacterial large subunit ribosomal RNA", at positions 2365 to 2925 of the family's 2925-position model. Lineage: Bacteria; Pseudomonadati; Pseudomonadota; Gammaproteobacteria; Enterobacterales; Enterobacteriaceae. The record is from RNAcentral.